This 18-nucleotide small nuclear RNA is filed under the name Arabidopsis thaliana (thale cress). Its description in RNAcentral is "snRNA_01557". The record is from RNAcentral. Lineage: Eukaryota; Viridiplantae; Streptophyta; Magnoliopsida; Brassicales; Brassicaceae.
ACAAAUAAAAAGAAAGAA